Molecule: ribosomal RNA, 627 nt
Filed under: Glaciozyma martinii
Lineage: Eukaryota; Fungi; Basidiomycota; Microbotryomycetes; Kriegeriales; Camptobasidiaceae
Description: eukaryotic LSU rRNA
Rfam family: Eukaryotic large subunit ribosomal RNA
Source: RNAcentral
AUUAGACCUCAGAUCAGGCAGGAUUACCCGCUGAACUUAAGCAUAUCAAUAAGCGGAGGAAAAGAAACUAACAAGGAUUCCCCUAGUAACGGCGAGUGAAGCGGGAAGAGCUCAAAUUUGUAAUCUGGCCCUUUCAGGGUCCGAGUUGUAAUCUCGAGAAGUGUUUUCCGCGUCGGACUGCAUACAAGUCUAUUGGAAUAUAGCGUCAUAGUGGUGAGAGCCCCGUAACUGAUGCAGAUGCCCGAUGCUUUGUGAUACACUUUCGAAGAGUCGAGUUGUUUGGGAAUGCAGCUCAAAUUGGGUGGUAAAUUCCAUCUAAAGCUAAAUAUUGGCGAGAGACCGAUAGCGAACAAGUACCGUGAGGGAAAGAUGAAAAGCACUUUGGAAAGAGAGUUAACAGUACGUGAAAUUGUUGGAAGGGAAACGCUUGAAAUCAGACUUGCUAUUCGGAAUUCAGCCGCAAGGUGUACUUUUCGAUUUGCAGGCCAGCAUCAGUUUUUGGGGGUGGAAAAGGGUGGAGAGAAGGUAGCAACCCCGGUUGUGUUAUAGCUCUUCACUGGAUUCAUCUUUGGGGACUGAGGAUCGCAGUGCGCAUUUAUUUGCAAACCUCCUCGAGGUUUCGUACCU